GGGGGAUUACAUUUUAAAGAAACAUGUGUGUGUGUGUGUGUUAGUGUUAGAUUGUGUGUGUGUGUGUGUGUGUAUGUGUUAGUUUUUGUGUCAGUGUGUCUGUUAUUGAUUGUGUGUCUGCUAGUGUCAGUGUGUGUGUUAGUUUGUGUGUCAGUGAGUGUGUGUGUGUGUCAGUGAGUGUGUUACUGUGUGUGUCUGUUACCGAGUGUGUUAGUUUCUGUGUGUCUGUUAGUGAGUCUGUUUGAUGUCUGUCAGUGAGAGUGUAUGUGUGUGUGUCUGUCAGUGAGAGUGUAUGUAUGUCGCUGA
Non-coding RNA from Pelobates cultripes (western spadefoot toad), 306 nucleotides. The record is from the annotation of a GenBank genome assembly. Lineage: Eukaryota; Metazoa; Chordata; Amphibia; Anura; Pelobatidae.